Brienomyrus brachyistius is the source of this 9235-nucleotide long non-coding RNA. RefSeq lists it as uncharacterized. The transcript is spliced from 3 exons. NCBI's taxonomy places the organism in Eukaryota, Metazoa, Chordata, Actinopteri, Osteoglossiformes, Mormyridae. The record is from RefSeq and is a predicted model, not a curated record.
GCUGGUGAUGUUCAGCUGGGUGGUGUCACUGUUGAUCUGAUCCGGCCCUCCGUUUGGUGUGUCGUGAUCCAGCACCACAUUCACUGAAGGUAGGAAGCCUUUUGACACACGUGGUUAAAUUACACACGGUUGACUAACGCUAAAAGACUUAAGUGCAAACAAUGUGGGGAUUAACUUCAUCUGCGCUCACACACAUACUCAACCUAAACUGUAAUAGUACACAAAGGAUGUGAGCAUAAAAGUGCAUAGAUCGCAGUGGUAUUUACUAGAUCUGCUGGUUUGAUUCGUCCGAAGAGUGUUGAAUAAUUGUGUAUAACCACACAGGAAGUGCCAAGCAAUUGAAUCACAACUGUAAAUCAACGCACUUUAUAAUUCCUAAUUCUAACUAACAUUGCUGAAAAUUCCAGAUGUAGUACGGAAGCGUAUUGCAUUCAUCUGGGAAAAAAAAAAUUCUUUUUCUGUUUUUCUGAAUUAAUGAGAUAACCAUCCUGUUUUUCAUGAUGCAUGAUCUAUGUAGUUUAAUCCGGUUUAAUUUCUAUAGAUGUAUUACCAUUAGUCUGUUAUCUUUGCACAGGUACCUAUUGCAACCUGCUUGACAUUGCAGUGCUUCUCCCGGAUCAGUUGAAUCAGUAUUGCAUGCUUCAUGGACAAAUGCUGAUGUAUCUGAAAUGCGUUCAGUCCGACUCGUAUGUGACCCAUCACCACGAAAUGAGUCUUAUGGGUGCAGUUCUACCAGUGCGACUUAAGACUCAUUUCGUGGCGACGGGUCACAUAUGAUUUCACAUGCCAUGGGUUUGGACCUGGAUUCUGAUCCCAGUGCUGCCGAAGGCGAUUCCGGAGCCUGAGCUGUACUCUAUGAGGAUCCAGUAUUUGCAGCAAUCGCCUGACAUGGUUUUGGGUCACAACAUGGUCGGCCUGAAUGCUUUUCACAGGCGUCAGCUUAUUUCCGCGAAGCAUGACUUACUGCAUCUGCUGCUCUAGGAGAAGCACGGCAAUGUCAAGCAAGUCGCAGUGACCUGUACGGCUGAACAAACCCGAAGUCCGGGGCUGCCACUGCAUAAAGUUAACAAACCAAUGAUAAUACAACAACAACAACAACAAAUGUAUUUUUGUAUAGCGCAUUAACACAACAUUACAUCAUCUCAAAGCGCUUUACAGCAUCCGCACCCAAAGCCCCCAGUGAGUAAGCCAAAGGCAACAGUGGCAAGGAAAAACUCCCAAGAAGGAAGAAACCUUGGGAGGGACCAGACUCAAAGGGGGAGCCCAUCCUCCAGGGGCCGGCAGGGAGAGUCAAAUAAGAGUCAAGUCACAUUGUCCCAAUCAUAAGAUUUGGGAAAUAACUGGAAAGCAGGGAAGAUGACAAGCCAAUGGCAAAUGACAAUACCAUCCAUACUACUUAAAAACAUUAAUAUUUCCCAACGUCUCAAAUCAAUUAAUUCAGAAAAACAGAAAAGUAUCACUUUUAAAAACAAGAUGGUUAUCUCAUUAUUUCAGAAAAACAUUAAAUAUUGCUUGUAAAUACAGGAUGAUUAUAUUGAUUUGGAACAACAACUAAUUUUUAUUUUUCCAGUUGAAUGUAUACGCUUCUGUGAUGUAGAACACAAUUUUAAAAUGACAGAAACUGUAAAAAAAACAAAAAAAAAAAACAAAGAAAUUGCUAAAAAUCACUUAGAUGACAACGCUUCAGGCUGAGGAACAAGACCUGUGGUCAGUGAUUUAAUACCCGAAAGAUUUAAUGAUGUAAUGCCUUAGUCACAACCUACAUUACAGUCCCAUGUGACCUGCUGAAGAACAAGAUAACGGGAUAAACGGGAAGGUCUGGUUUUAAUAUAACAGCCAUAAUGCAGCUGAAAACCAAGAGCUACAUAAAGCUAAACUGAUAAAAUAAUGGCCAAAUUUGUGUUUUUUUUUUUACAUAUAGGUCAAUUAAAUAGUAUUGAAAAGGAGCCAUCAUUGAAAUCAGAGCUUGCUAUGUUUUGUUUCGUAUGACUGAGCACAAAUGAUUUAGCAUAACUUAACGUUUCUGUUUUAGCUUGUUCUGUCCUUUGCACCUGCACAAACUGAAUGGUUAGACCAUUUACCCCUGCUUAUGGGACUUGUUCUUACACAAAACACAUGCAGAGGAAAUUGUAAAGAUAAACCACUAGCAGCUUAGCUUGCCUUCAGCCAGCUCUUGGAACUACAUGUACGCACGCCAAAUCAGUCUAUUUCGUAACAACAACUCAUCAAAACAAUCUGGAGCUGGAAGUUAACCAUACCAUCUUUUCUGUAGCCUUUAGAAAUAUAUCACAAUUAUAUAAUUUGAUAAAUCAAUAGCAACACACAAAAUUAUGCUUUCAAUUCCAAGUUAAAACCUUACUUCUGAUCCAAUACAUUGCAAAAGGUAUCGAAGCAUUCAUGCUGGUUCCACCAGAUUGUGUAAGAUCCUCACACCACGAGCCAUCAGAAUCCUAAAUGCAUGGUCAUGAAUCUCUGCCUAACCUACACAACCUAACAUGGUAGUUAGAAAUCUUGGCGUUCUUGUCGAUUCAGAUCUAUGCUUUGAUGCUCACAUAAGAAGUAUUACUAGAACUGCAUUUUAUCAUCUGCGGAAGCCAAGCUUCGUAAGAUGCUCUCACUUAAUGAUGCAGAAAAACUAAUACAUGCCUUCGUAAGUUCCAGACUGGAUUACUGUAAUGCCCUCCUAUCGGGUUGCCCGUCUGGAUCCUUGCAUAAACUUCAGAUGGUACAGAAUGCUGCAGCCAGAGUUCUAACAAACACUAAAAAAUUUGAUCAUAUUACACCGGUCUUAUCCUCUCUUCAUUGGCUGCCAGUUAAGUCUCGAAUUGACUAUAAAAUACUGCUAUUAACUUAUAAAGCACUAAAUGGCCUUGCCCCAGAAUACCUUAGUGAUCUGCUGACCACAUACAACCCUCCACGCUUGCUUCGCUCUCAAGCCAUGGGAUAUCUGUUAGUGCCUAGGGUAGAAAGAGCUACGGCAGGCUGCAGAGCUUUCUCCUACAAAGCUCCUCAGCUGUGGAAUGGUCUUCCACCGGAUGUGGGGGUUUCAGGUUCACUCUCAAUAUUCAAGUCCAGACUAAAAACACACCUGUUUAGUUUAGCGUAUAGGGACACUAGUUCUAGCCCUAGCUAACUCUUCACUCCCAGUCAGACCUGUAGUGUGAGGUGUAGAGCUGGGUGGGGAUCGGUGCCAUUGGCUUUGGAUGAACUGGAUUGUCAGUGCUGUCACUCUAGCUUCGCAAUCUCUUGUGGAACUGGAGUGCUGACAUUUCAGGGACUCCCCAUGCCUGCAUUCCCACUUGCCUCUCCCUCCUACUGAUGCUGCCAUAGCCAUAUCUGCCGGAGCUUGCAGAUUGCACUUCAUAUUGUACUCACCUAGCUUUUAGCACUGCCAAUAGCCUCCUCUACUAUGCCUAAUUGUACAUUUUAAUUCCCCUACUCCUCCUGGGGGGUGAUGCCUGGAGACCUCAAUCUAUCAAGAUAUCCAGCACACCCGGCCACAUGUGACGUCGCCACCACCAGUGACGUCCCUGCAUCCAGCUCGCCGUUCUGAUCUUCCAUGUAUGACCCGCUGCCUCACCUCUGGUUGCCUGGCAAUUGGAAGAAGACUCGGCUUCGGCAUUGGCUUAUCAUCUUCCUUGCUCUCCAGUUAUUUCCCAAAUCUUAUUGGGGAAAAUGUGACUUGGCCCAUCUCUGGCACUUAACCAUCUCUCUAUUUGACUCUCCCUGCCGGCCCCUGGAGGAUGGGCUUCCCCUUUGAGUCUGGUCCCUCCCAAGGUUUCUUCCUUCUAGGGAGUUUUUCCUUGCCACUGUCGCCUAUGGCUUACGCUUAAUUGGCACCUGCAUUUGGCACCUGCAUUUGACUUAUAACUCUCAACCAAUGCUGCUAUAGCCUCCUUAUUGUCAUGGAACUGUGGGGGCAGAGCAGGAACUGAGAAGCAGAAGUCCAGGGAGUUCAGGAAAUGAGGGUUAUAUUUGGGGAGAAUACAUCCACAAACAAAAACUAAACAAAGGACUGACGUCAAUGACCAAACUGGGGAAAAUAAACCUAAGACUUAAAUACAUUGAACUAAUGACAGCAACAAGAAACAGCUGAUCACAUGGGGAUUCCACACGAGGCUAAUGAGGGGGCGUGGGACACGUGUGGGCAGGACACUUAUGUGCAAUAAUUUGAUACCCUGGACACCGCUAAGUGGCCCUCUGUCACACUAUGCUGGUCAUUUAAUCUUAUAUUUAUAUUCAUAUACAGAAAUAUAGGCUUAAUCAUUCUCGCCUUUCUCCAGGUGGUGUGGCGUUCAAAAGGCUGAGCAAUCACCUUGUCCCUAUAUUUUAAGAUAAGAUAAGAUAAUCCUUUAUUAGUCACACAAGUGGGAAAUUUGCAUAGUCACGACAGAAAGUGGACAGUACAAGAAUAGAGCAGCAAAAAUUAACAACAAUAUGAUAAAAACUAUAUAUGUACAAGUGGGAAUAUAUAAAUAUAAAUAUAUAUACAACACUGGGUGUCUGUCCUUCGCAGUAUGGUUGUAAUACUUUAUUGGGUGUCCACAAAUCCUGCUAAGGCUUUGAUGGGUGGAAGAGUUCUUGUCCUCUUGGAUGCAUUUGUGCUGGAUGUGUAUUCAGGCACUGUUUGGUGUUGGGAGUGUAUAGUAUGGUCUUGUAUGCUUGGGCAUAAAUGGGCAAAGAUACAUCAAGAAGUAUCUUGUUACAAAUUACAAAUACUUGCUCAUCAAAUGUAACAAUAAAAUACAAAAUACUGGCGUUAGAAAAUGUAUUUAAUUAAAGUACAAGGUAUCUGUAAUGAAAUAGAAAAUACAAAACUACACAAAAUAGGAACUACACGGCGAAUACGGGUACCUUUACAGCCCUAGUAAUGUGUAAUACUUACAAAAUAUACAGUUUGUCCUAACUUUAAACAGAAUAAUAAUUAUGCUAUUUACAUGUGUUAUAGUGUUAAUUGUUAAAUGAAAAAUGACGUUUUAAACAUUUACUAACGUGAUGAAAGCUCACCAGUCUGCACCUGAUUGGCGUUAUAGGGUUUUCGCGAUUCCAUCUUCUAGAACCGCGACAUAUCAUAAAUGUUGGUAUGGCGAUAUCAAUCUCGGAUUUAGAACCAUUAUACUCUUAAUUUAUACCCAGCGUUUCACAUAGAAUUAUAGUGGCGGUGGCUGACAGGGUGCCGGUAUGUACGUGCAAGGAGGCAUACCAAAGCUUUCUUAAAUUACAUAAUGCGUGAAUUUCCCGCUUUGUCUUAUAGUAAGAUACCGAAAGCAGAAACUUAAAGAAGAAUCUGAAAAAAAUUAAGCCAGCGGCUGUGACGCAUAUAAUUGUGACAUCCGUGAGGCACACCCCGGCCGGUCGUAAUUUGCAUAUUUCCCAUUGUGCAGCGCGGCUUGUGCAAAUAGCCCGCCUACGUCAUUUAUGUAAAUAAUGUGCCGUGUGUAACGUGAGCUGUAAUUAUUUCGUUUAAUUUUUAACUGUUUGUUAAACUGCCCACCGUGUACGGUUCCUCUUGCUUGUAAAGGGACUUCUCUUUCUCUGUCAUGAAGUCCACCUUACGUAGAUGCUAUUUAUUCUGUGUCUGUCUAAGUGGGCAAGUUUCGUUUGCGUCUGCGCAAUACCGAGUCCUGCUAAGGGCUCGGUAUUGCGAUAUUGGAAGAGCGGUCAAUGAAACCUUACUUUCAGAACUGAAUCUCGACUGUGAGCCUCUUUGCAGUAUGUCUGGGUCCGGCAGAUACCACAAUAUGCAAAGUCAAGUUCCUCGGUCGUUUUUCGCUUUUACACAGGCUCAGCGACUAUUAAACGCAUACAUUUAGCUGAUAUAAAUUAGUUUAUCCUUAGGAACAAAAGUAGCUAGCAUGAUUUAUCGCUAAUUAAGUCUUACAUAGGCCUAUAUGACAAAUCACAAGAUACCACUGCCUGAGUAUUUCUGUUGAAAUGAACUAGUAAACUAGAGCACAGGACUGCUGCUUACUAAUUGCUCUCUCUUUCUGUCCAAUAAUCAGGGAUGGACAUAACUCGUACGCAAGAACUCAUUCACUUUUAAAAACGAAACGUGCGACAAUCGAUUGCGGUAUCAGUGUAAAUGCGUAUUAUGUGCUUUUACGCUGAUAUGAAAACAAAAUGUAAUGCAUUUCAAUCUUUGUUGUUCAAUAUUCUACUACAUACUUUACGUUAAGGAAAUUUGCAUCAAGCACCAAAAUGGCUUCUUUGCUUUGAUUACUGGUCAUGGGAAAACGAAGUUCACAACGAGCAAGUUGGGGCCAACAAAGCUGCUCCUGAGAGCAGUAACAAUGCAUUAUUUCUACAGGUGUGUCUCUUUUGUGCUGUGGCCAUCUUCUCUUGAAAGUGUCUGCAGCUCUGUGUAUGUUUGUGACAGAAUUAAUAGCAGAUAGUCUCUUUACUGGAACUGGUGUGUAAUCGACUAUGUUAACGGGUUCUGUCUCCGUUUCUGUCUGACCUGCACUGCUCAAAGUGUUUGCUACCAUCACGUCGUGACCUGGGACAUACAGUAGCCGUGUAAAGUCGGGACGCGCCAAGUCACCUACGAAGAUGAGCGAGAGUGAUAUAGUGUCGCAUCACAUGACCCGGCCACCUGACCGAAACACAGUGGAAAUGGGUUCGGAGUUUGACCAGAGAAGUGAAGGAAAAGCAGCUAAUGAAUGCACAGCAUAUAUGUAGGAUCUCUUUCAGGACAGCUGGAAAAGCUUCCCAGGAGACCACCUCUUGGCACUGGCAUAGUGGAGACAGCAGGGCCCCCCAGUCCCUGGUACAAUUGGGGUUAAGGGCCCCAACAGGUUGGUGUGUCCAAACUUUUGACUGCUAUUGUAAGUGACAUUAUCAUACUCCUGACAGCAUUCAUCAGUGGAGAUUUGACAAUAUCCUUCAGUGGCUAGCGAUCCGUUUGACCAUUAAUAGGUCAUAAGUAUACCGAUGGAAUUCGUCCAUACCAAAGAAUAUUGGCAGGCACUCCUUCUCCAGUUUGAUUGAGUGCUCCGCUCCCAUCUGUUACGGGUUUGCCUUGUUGUGUUAAUGCCGCUCCUAGACCAGUUUCCCUAGCAUUGCUCGGCAGCAUCAGCUCUUCCUCAGGGCUAUAGUACUUUACGACUGAAGAUAUGUCACCCUGCCAUCAUGGAUGUCUGCACUUCAAAUGUGAAGGUGGAGGCCAGUGGAACAGCACAGUGUGGGAGCUAAAUAUCUGAAAGAGGCUGCAGAAAUUUAAUACUAAGAACCAGGAAGCCUUAGCGUGUCAUAUAAAGGUAGUUUAUAAAGACAAGCUCUCUGAUAACCAUUCUACAGACUACACCUGCCACGUCGCCUACUUUAAAUGCUGUUGUGUUGAUCAGGGUGCAGUGAACCAAAGUAUUGUCUUUCAAAACAUGGUGUAACAUCAUGAUGAAAAUGCUGACACCGUAUCCACUGUAUAUUCGAAGGAUGUUCAGAUCAAUGUUGAAAUAUUGAUUCUUUUUCAUUUUGAAAAUGUAUAUUGGUAUAGAGAUUAAUAUCCCUCAAACAAUACUAGCAUUGGAUUGAAUCGAAAUAUGGGUUUAUUUGUUUAUGGAAGAAACGUAUCAAGUUUUAUCCUUUUGCCAAAAAGCCUGGAUUUCCUCUUUUUCCCCUUUCAAGGAUUUUUUUUUUACCUUAUUUUAAAGUAUUUAACUUUUCACUGUAUCUCUCAUUACCUGUAUUCACUGCCCAUACUCUCAUCUGCCUAUGAGAUAUACGCACACACACACAUUCAUGAUAGGCACUUAACUCACAGACCACGUUAUUAUAAGGUCCUUGGCUUCAGUAAACAACAUGGUCAGUCAUACUUCUAUUGUAGUGAACAUCGAAAUGAGACAACGGCACGUUCUGGUGUCAUUAUUUUGUUGAUAGAAACAAUUAUCUGUGAAAUACGUCGAUUCAGUUUUCAGCACGAGGCAACUCAUGCUCAGCUCUCCUCUCACAGAUUCUAAAUAUUAAGGAAAAUGCCGCGUACUCCAUAAAUAGGAGACUUGAAGUACAUAGCGUACUAUCGCCAUCUGCUGACCGUUUUCAAUCUGCAAGCGGAAAUCCAGUAGUUAAAGGAAGUUCAUUUCAAUUUACAGAACCGAUUCUAUAAAGCUAUCUGUUUAACUUGAACGUUAGUUCCUAUUUGUCGGUAUGUGCAUAUGCUACGGCGAAUCCUGGUUACAGUCCAUCAUAAUCGGCGAUCUGGAAACAUUUUGGUUUGAUAAUAAAUUACACCAAUACUGGAGAGAGUUCUUGAUAAAACCAAGACUGUCCGUCGGUGUUAUACCGAAUUGAAUUAUGUUGCCGAGAUGACGUCAUUCAUGUGUGUACGACCAGACCGGAGCAAGGCAGAAACAGCCUCUCAAGUCUCCCCGUGGCAUUUAAGCAAAUUUAACUACAGAUAAGCGACCAUACUUGGUAAUAGAGAACAAGGGAUUUAGUUCAUUAUUAUUUUAAUAUUAUACUUUCUUUUCUUUUUUUACAAAUACAAUAAAAAUUAGCGUGUCUUCAUACAUUCAAACAUUGACGAACGCAUUGCCUCUUUUUAAACUUUUCCUAAUUGUUUUUGCGGUUUUAAUAAUCUCAGAACAAAUUCUGUUUUCCCUGCUGUAUAGAAAUUGCAUCGAACUGUAAAUGCAAAAUCCAGCGGUACCGAAGAACGUUUGUUUAACAGGAAAGGAGUACAGAUUACCUUCUCAGAAGCCCUGGGAGGAGGAUUCGUGUGCCGUCGGCCUAAAAAAAAAGGAACAAACCGCUCUCAGUAGUUGGAGUUGGGGUCAACUAUGAGAAACAAGAUGAGGAGGCCCCAGCAUUACGUUAAAAAAGACUCACGUCUCCGUCUGCAGCAGACGACACAGAGGAUGAUGAGAGCGAUGAUGAUGAGGAGGAGGAGGAAACCGCAGGGGAUUCCGAUAGCGAGGCCCAGGAUGGCCGCCUUGCUCAGUCCCUGGCCUGGAACAGGAAGCGAAUAAGACUUUGAGAUAAUAUAUCAUAUCAUACGAGAAUCUUCAAUCUCGUUCCUGACCAUUAACAGAUUUAACAGCAUCUUGGAAAAAUAUCUGCUGCCGAAUUGGGCAAGGGAGUAUGUGGGCAUUUAGGCAGGACAACACGGGAAUGCCAUUAUUUACUGGACCUAAAUAAGCCUAAUUUACUGGGGAUAACUGGUUUAGAAUAAACACCCAUUCCCAUUAAGGACUUUGCAUUGGCUGAAUCACCGUCCUCAGACUGAAAGUCCCACCUGGUC